This 253-nucleotide unclassified non-coding RNA is filed under the name uncultured Halomonadaceae bacterium. Its description in RNAcentral is "contains 16S-23S intergenic spacer region". It matches the Rfam family "Bacterial small subunit ribosomal RNA", at positions 524 to 776 of the family's 1533-position model. The record is from RNAcentral. Lineage: Bacteria; Pseudomonadati; Pseudomonadota; Gammaproteobacteria; Oceanospirillales; Halomonadaceae.
UACGGAGGGUGCAAGCGCUAUUCGGAAUUUCUGGGCGUAAAGCGCGCGUAGGUGGCUUGCUAAGCCGGUUGUGAAAGCCUCGGGCUCAACCUGGGAACGGCAGCCGGAACUGUCAGGCUAGAGUGCAGGAGAGGAAGGUAGAAUUCCCGGUGUAGCGGUGAAAUGCGUAGAGAUCGGGAGGAAUACCAGUGGCGAAGGCGGCCUUCUGGACUGACACUGACACUGAGGUGCGAAAGCGUGGGUAGCAAACAGG